Molecule: ribosomal RNA, 420 nt
Filed under: uncultured Leucobacter sp.
Lineage: Bacteria; Bacillati; Actinomycetota; Actinomycetes; Micrococcales; Microbacteriaceae
Description: bacterial SSU rRNA
Rfam family: Bacterial small subunit ribosomal RNA
Source: RNAcentral
GGAAUAUUGCACAAUGGGCGCAAGCCUGAUGCAGCAACGCCGCGUGAGGGAUGAAGGCCUUCGGGUUGUAAACCUCUUUUAGUAGGGAAGAAGCGAAAGUGACGGUACCUGCAGAAAAAGCACCGGCUAACUACGUGCCAGCAGCCGCGGUAAUACGUAGGGUGCAAGCGUUGUCCGGAAUUAUUGGGCGUAAAGAGCUCGUAGGCGGCUUGUCGCGUCUGCUGUGAAAACCCGAGGCUCAACUUCGGGCUUGCAGUGGGUACGGGCAGGCUAGGGUGUGGUAGGGGAGAUUGGAAUUCCUGGUGUAGCGGUGGAAUGCGCAGAUAUCAGGAGGAACACUGAUGGCGAAGGCAGAUCUCUGGACCACUACUGACGCUGAGGAGCGAAAGCAUGGGGAGCGAACAGGAUUAGAUACCCUGG